RNAcentral lists this ribosomal RNA (253 nucleotides) under uncultured bacterium. Its description in RNAcentral is "partial 16S ribosomal RNA". It matches the Rfam family "Bacterial small subunit ribosomal RNA", at positions 524 to 776 of the family's 1533-position model. The record is from RNAcentral.
UACGGAGGGUGCAAGCGUUGUUCGGAAUCACUGAGCGUAAAGCGCGUGUAGGCGGCUUGGCAAGUCGGUUGUGAAAUCCCGGGGCCCAACCCCGGAACUGCAAUCGAAACUGCCUCGCUAGAGUCCCGGAGAGGAAGGCGGAAUUCCCGGUGUAGAGGUGAAAUUCGUAGAUAUCGGGAGGAACACCAGUGGCGAAGGAGGCCUUCGGGACGGUGAAUGACGCUGAGACGCGAAAGCGUGGGGAGCAAACAGG